GCCAUCCUUUCCUUGGGGCUGUGCUACUGUCCAAUGCGCGCAUAGUGAGGGAAGUACUGCUAACCCUAAACACACCCACAUCAACCACAGCUUUGCUUUACAUUGGUGCAAUUUUUAGAAAA
Molecule: small nuclear RNA, 122 nt
Organism: Sapajus apella (tufted capuchin)
Lineage: Eukaryota; Metazoa; Chordata; Mammalia; Primates; Cebidae
Product: U4atac minor spliceosomal RNA
Exons: 1
Source: RefSeq, a predicted model, not a curated record